CCUGGUUGAUCCUGCCAGUAGUCAUAUGCUUGUCUCAAAGAUUAAGCCAUGCAUGUCUAAGUAUAAGCACUUGUACUGUGAAACUGCGAAUGGCUCAUUAAAUCAGUUAUCGUUUAUUUGAUUGUACCUUACUACAUGGAUACCUGUGGUAAUUCUAGAGCUAAUACAUGCGAAAGAUCCCGACUUCACGGAAGGGAUGUAUUUAUUAGACUAAAAACCAAUGCGGGCCUCGGUCCGCUUGCUUGGUGAUUCAUGAUAACUUUUCGAAUCGCAUGGCCUUGCGCCGGCGAUGUUUCAUUCAAAUUUCUGCCCUAUCAACUGUCGAUGGUAAGGUAGUGGCUUACCAUGGUUGCAACGGGUGACGGAGAAUUAGGGUUCGAUUCCGGAGAGGGAGCCUGAGAAACGGCUACCACAUCUAAGGAAGGCAGCAGGCACGAAAAUUACCCAAUCCCGAUUCGGGGAGGUAGUGACAAGAAAUAACGGUACGGGGCCUUUAUAGGUCUCGCAAUCGGAAUGAGAACAAUUUAAAUCCUUUAACGAGGAUCAAUUGGAGGGCAAGUCUGGUGCCAGCAGCCGCGGUAAUUUCAGCUCCAAUAGCGUAUAUUAAAGUUGUUGCAGUUAAAAAGCUCGUAGUUGGAUUUCGGAGCGGGCCCGUCGGUCCACCGCAAGGUGAGCUACUGGCGGGUCUGUUCUUCUUCGCAAAGACUGCAGGUGCACUUCGCUGUGUGCUUGUCGGAUUUGUGACGUUUACUUUGAAAAAAUUAGAGUGUUCAAAGCAGGCUUUCGCUUGAAUACAUGAGCAUGGAAUAAUGGAAUAGGACUUUGGUUCUAUUUUGUUGGUUUCUAGGACCGAAGUAAUGAUUAAGAGGGACAAACGGGGGCAUCUGUAUUUCGUUGUCAGAGGUGAAAUUCUUGGAUUUGCGAAAGACAAACAACUGCGAAAGCACUUGCCAAGAGUGUUUUCAUUAAUCAAGAACGAAAGUUAGAGGAUCGAAGACGAUCAGAUACCGUCCUAGUUCUAACCAUAAACGUGACUAACAUGAUGAUUUGCGAGAGAAACCCACGCUUUGUCACUUAUGUGAGGAUAAAAUCUCUUGUCCAUAUGAUCCUUUGAAGGGAACAGCGCUUUGAGCUUGCUCGGCGUUGGCACCUUUAGUCUGUAAUAUUUUCUUGAUAUUAUGGACGAAAAAGGUAGUAUGGUUGCAAAGCUGAAACCUAAAGGAAUUGACGGAAGGGCACCACCAGGAGUGGAGCCUGCGGCUUAAUUUUUUUGAGAGGAGGAGUGGAAGUUUUUCCAUAAGUCGUCUCUCGUAUAAACUGUGGUAAAUCCGGCCAUCCAGCCUCUACGCGGCGCAACUAGAAACUUGGAUCAGUGAUCAAGGCUAAUGGAUGACGGGACUCCAUGGAUAAGGAGAAAUAAAGAUCUUAUCCGAACGCAUCGUAAGGGGUUAUGGGGCUAACACCCCCUUAAUUCUGGUGCACAUUUAUUGACCGUUAUGAGCAAUAUAAUCACGAUAGGUGACGUACCCUCGGUAGGAAAGGGGGGUUUAACUGUCAAUAAACAAACAGCAGGAGCUGAUGGUGCUGAAGCGUGU
Molecule: ribosomal RNA, 1595 nt
Filed under: Hydra vulgaris (swiftwater hydra)
Lineage: Eukaryota; Metazoa; Cnidaria; Hydrozoa; Anthoathecata; Hydridae
Description: SSU rRNA
Rfam family: Eukaryotic small subunit ribosomal RNA
Source: RNAcentral